GUCAAAUGGCCAUUCCUUCAACAGGCCUUACGUAUGAAGGGUUUUGAUGAGGCUUGGCGACGCCAGGUAGAAUCCUUCACACAAAAAGGAAGUGUUGGAAUUAAAGUAAAUGAUGAUAUAGGGCAUUAUUUCCAGACACACAAAGGCCUGAGGCAAGGAGAUCCAAUGUCCCCUAUUUUGUUCAACAUUGUGGUUGACAUGUUGGCAAUUCUCAUAGGUAGGGCAAAGGAGGCCGGUCAGGUGGGUGCCUUGGUGCCAAACCUAGUUGAUGGGGGUGUGUCCAUUCUGCAGUACGCUGAUGAUACAAUCAUCUUUAUGGAGCAUGACCUGGCAAAAGCGAGAAAUAUGAAGCUGGUGUUAUGCUUAUUUGAACAAUUGACCGGGUUAAAGAUUAACUUUCAUAAAAGCGAGUUGUUCUGCUUUGGUAGAGCCAAGGAGGAACAAGAGGCUUAUAGGCAAUUGUUUGGAUGUGAAUUAGGGGCUAUACCUUUUACUUACUUAGGUAUACCCAUUCACCAUCGUAAGCUAACGAACAAAGAGUGGAAAUGCAUUGAAGAUCGGUUUGAAAAGAAACUU
Molecule: ribosomal RNA, 576 nt
Filed under: Triticum aestivum (bread wheat)
Lineage: Eukaryota; Viridiplantae; Streptophyta; Magnoliopsida; Poales; Poaceae
Description: partial small subunit ribosomal RNA
Source: RNAcentral